AGCAGCCGCGGUAAUUCCAGCUCCAAUAGCGUAUAUUAAAGUUGUUGCAGUUAAAAAGCUCGUAGUUGAAUUUCGGGAUCAAGGCGUCGGUCGUGCUUCGGUACGUACUGGCGUCAUUGAUUUCUCCCUUCUGACGAACCAUGAUGCCAUUAACUUGGUGUUAUGGGAAAUCAGGACUGUUACUUUGAAAAAAUUAGAGUGUUUAAAGCAGGCUCACGCUUGAAUACAUUAGCAUGGAAUAAUGAAAUAGGACGUUCGAUCCUAUUUUGUUGGUUUUUAGGAUCAACGUAAUGAUUAAUAGGGAUAGUUGGGGGCAUUAGUAUUCAAUUGUCAGAGGUGAAAUUCUUGGAUUUAUUGAAGACUAACUACUGCGAAAGCAUUUGCCAAGGAUGUUUUCAUUAAUCAAGAACGAAAGUUAGGGGAUCGAAGACGAUCAGAUACCGUCGUAGUCUUAACCAUAAACUAUGCCGACUAGGGAUCGGAUGAUGUUAAUUAUUUAAUGACUCAUUCGGCGCCUUACG
RNAcentral lists this ribosomal RNA (521 nucleotides) under uncultured Glomeraceae. Its description in RNAcentral is "SSU rRNA". It matches the Rfam family "Eukaryotic small subunit ribosomal RNA", at positions 569 to 1092 of the family's 1831-position model. The record is from RNAcentral. Lineage: Eukaryota; Fungi; Glomeromycota; Glomeromycetes; Glomerales; Glomeraceae.